CAGGGAGACAACAAAAUGUUUAAUAUUAUUAUUUUGUCACCUUAGGUCGAUCGGUAUCUCACGUUCUUAAUUUAUUAAGGAUUUUAUUUCCUAAGUUUUUCUAGGUCACACCCAUUAUUUUUCCUGGGCCAUUAGCUCAGGUGGUUAGAGCGCACCCCUGAUAAGGGUGAGGUCCCUGGUUCAAGUCCAGGAUGGCCCAUAUCUCUAUGUUGGGGGUAUAGCUCAGUUGGUAGAGCGCCUGCUUUGCAAGCAGGAUGUCAGCGGUUCGAGUCCGCUUACCUCCACUGAUUACCACCUCUUCCAUAAUCUGUAGAAAGGAAAAUUUUUGAGUUGUGAUCAUAAACCUGAACGAAUCUAGCUUCCUAAUGAAACAUUAAGAUGCUGGACUCAUUGAAUUAAUUUCAUUGUUUUCAGAGAACCUUGACAACUGCAUAGAUUAUUUUUAAAGACAAUAAGCAUCUUUAUGAUGCAGAUUUAUUAUUUGUGCGAAUGCAUUAAUAACAAUUCUAUUAAGCUGAUGCUUCA
This 525-nucleotide transfer RNA is filed under the name uncultured Prochlorococcus sp. RNAcentral's name for it is "partial 16S-23S ribosomal RNA intergenic spacer". The stretch from base 212 to 284 matches the Rfam family "tRNA". The record is from RNAcentral. Lineage: Bacteria; Bacillati; Cyanobacteriota; Cyanophyceae; Synechococcales; Prochlorococcaceae.